UAUAGGUAAGGAUGCUCUGUUAGUAGGCCAAGGAAAUAUUAAUGGAAGAAAGCAAUGUCCAGUACCUGAGCGUGAUAUGAGACCAGUCUCGGAAGUUCCCUAAUAAGAAGUUGGCUUCGAAUGAGAUGUCCCCAGAGAAGUUGAAGUGAGCUGGUUCUUUCCUCAUGAAAGUAUUUGGGGUUCUUGCUAUUCUAUUUCUAUCGCUUCUCUUGGUGAAUUUUGUUUUGUAGUUUGUUCUUUUCGCAAGAAAAGUUAAUUGCUUUACUUAUACUUCCAUAUAAUAACAGUUGAGUUUUGAUAAGGUGUUCAUAAACAACUUAAUCCACACCUUUUGUUAUGUAAUAUAUUCUACGAACACUUAUCUUCUGUUCUUUAUUGAACAUAAGGAUGCAAAUAAAUUUUGAUAUGGAUGUAAAUAGA
Malus domestica (apple) is the source of this 420-nucleotide long non-coding RNA. RefSeq lists it as uncharacterized. The record is from RefSeq and is a predicted model, not a curated record. NCBI's taxonomy places the organism in Eukaryota, Viridiplantae, Streptophyta, Magnoliopsida, Rosales, Rosaceae.